Molecule: long non-coding RNA, 5793 nt
Organism: Biomphalaria glabrata
Lineage: Eukaryota; Metazoa; Mollusca; Gastropoda; Planorbidae
Exons: 4
Source: RefSeq, a predicted model, not a curated record
AGGGGUCUCAAGUGUUCUGCCUGAAGUAAAUAUUUGUUUUCGGAAUAUCUAAGGCUUCUCAGACUACAUUUUAAUUCGAACAAGACAUUCGCCUACUCAAUGUAGAGCAAGUAAAAAAAAAAAUAGACAAAUAUUUUUAUCCUUAAAAAUGGUGUGGGCUGGGAACGGUGGCAGACGUUGCAAGUUAUAAAGUAUGAGAAAGAUCUUAGUGCAAGUUAUAAUGAACAAGAUAGGUCUUAGUGCAAGUUAUAAAGUAUGAGAUAGGACUUAGUGCAAGUUAUAAAGUAUCAGAUAGGUCUAAGUGCAAGUUAUAAAGUACGAGAUAGGUCUUAGUGCAAGUUAUAAAGUAUGAGAUAGAUAUUAGGUCUACGUGCAAGUUAUAAAGUACGAGAUUGGUCUUAGUGCAAGUUAUAAAGUAUGAGAUAGGACUUAGUGCAAGUUAUAAAGUAUGAGAUAGAUAUUAGGUCUACGUGCAAGUUAUAAAGUACGAGAUUGGUCUUAGUGCAAGUUAUAAAGUACGAGAUUGGUCUUAGUGCAAGUUAUAAAGUAUGAGAUAGGACUUAGUGCAAGUUAUAAAGUAUGAGAUAGAUAUUAGGUCUACGUGCAAGUUAUAAAGUACGAGAUUGGUCUUAGUGCAAGUUAUAAAGUACGAGAUUGGUCUUAGUGCAAGUUAUAAAGUAUGAGAUAGGACUUAGUGCAAGUUAUAAAGUAUGAGAUAGGAUUUAGUGCAAGUUAUAAAGUAUGAGAUAGGAUUUAGUGCAAGUUAUAAAGUAGGCUAUGAGAUAGUGCAAGUUAAAGUCCAGGCUGGGGAACACGAGUUUCCUCAAUAAGUCAGUGAGGGUGUCUACGCGGUAGAUUGUUGUACUGACACACGACACUCUCAUUGACACUGAAACACAUAAAGAGAUUAUACUAACCUAGCAUAACAUUUAGCAUUUCUAUGUCUUGCAGUAAAAGUACUGCUAUUAUGAAUAGAAAAUGCAUGUUAGUUUUAGCGCUAGCUACUUUUGUACCCAGAAACAGCCUACAUAGUACUGAACAUUGUUCCGAUCAUUCAUCUACCCUGCCCUCCUUCGAACGAGUCCAACAAUGCUUUCAUCACCAAACUUUUUGUUCAUGGUAGAGCUCGUGAGCAGCCGAGUGAAAACGUUUAUUCACGUAGGCCUACUGCUUUUAUCCUCCCCCCAUCCAGUUAGUCAAAAGAUGGCCGAGGAAAGGCGACGAAGACGAAAGAGAAGAAGGGCGAAGGUAAAAUAUUGGAAGGAUCGAAUCGAUUAUAAAGGGAUCAUCAACAGUGUUUCAACGACUCUCCUCCUUGUGAUGGAAGGGACAUAUAUAAAAAUGGAAGAUUAAGAAAAAUUGUGUAAACCAAGAAAUGGGCAGAGAAGCAGAACGACUUAGCAUAGGGGUCUUUCUGGAAGGUCUUUGAUGUUUUUAUGGGAAUUUCAAGGCCCUCGACAAUAAAUGUGAUAAGUCCAGCACUGAACCGUUUGUCAAGAUUUUCGUCAAUGCUUUCAAAUUUCAGUGCCAAAUGAAACAACAAAUUUAAUACAAAAAAUGAUUAAGUGAAUAAAAUCUUUCAAAGAAGUUGUAUUUCUAUAUCUUUGAUGAUUGUAACAUUAGCGUUGUAAAAGGAAAUCCGAGUCAUGGAAAUAAAAGACAAGAUUGGCAUCAUUUUUUGAUAAAAAGAUUAUUUUUUAUACAGCCAACGAGUAGAUUAAAACGUACAGAUACAUUUAACUCUCUUCUGUGAUUUGAAAAUUGCUUUUCUAACUCCGAAUAAAUAGCAAGAUUCUUGUAUGGCCAACUAAGCGAAGGAAAGCGCUCGCUAGGUUGUCAAAGAAAGCGCUUUAGGGACACCCUUAAAGCUUCUCUGAAGGCGUUCAGCAUAGACCCAGCCACCUGGGAGACAGAGGCACAUGACAGAGCAUCAUGGCGUCGCGCUGUGAAAACUGGCGCACAGGUUGCUGAGGAAAAGAGAACAACGCUGGCAGAAGAAAAACGCCAGAGAAGAAAAGCAAGGCUCACGACACUAGCUCCAGCUGGAAUAACCUGCCCAGUGUGCAGCCGAACAUUCCGGGCUCACAUAGGUCUCACCAGCUACAUGAGGAGACAUAAAACCCCAGUGCAAAGCCCUCAGCCCCCUGGAUGACAAAGUGGUCAUCAUUGAACCACGAUGGACGAACUAUAUCAAAUAGCAAGAGUUGGGCGAUAUGUCGGCCGCAAUACAAAACAUUUUAAACCCUGCUGCUCUAUCUCUUAGUUUUAAAUUGAUAUUUCUAAUUAUCAUGCGGAAAAGGAUGGCGACUUGAACUGCAUUCUUAUUUUCAUGGCACAUCACCCAUAAGAAUCUACUUUUUAAGCAUUCGCCAUCCAAAAAAAAGGCUACAUUUCACUACUUAAACUGUGAGCAUUUUUGUAGCAUGACUCAUUUUCUUGUCUUUUCUUGGUAAUUAUUCUCGUUAAUCUUCUGUUCUCUAAGCGUUACUUGGUAAUCUUAUUUGCGGCUCAAACUAAGAAUGCCGCCAUAUUUCUUUAUGUUUUUUUAUUUCAUUAUUCUGUUUAACAUUACGUUCUAUACAAACAGCCACAAACGGGUCUAAACAAAUCAAGCAUAUUAGAUUAUUUUCAUGCUCCACAAAAAGAUAAAGAUCUGGUAGUUUCUACAUUCAGAGUCUACUUUUCGUUUCUUCGAAUCUUCCAUUUCAUUAACACACAAAAGAUUCCAAAAGACAAUCCAAAAUGACUCAAGAAAGAUGCAAACACAAGAUGUCAAGGACAACGCCAGCUCAAGACAGCAGAACUUUGCAAGAAUUUAAAAUAACUAUCUAGUCAUCUCGCUGAAAACUAAGUUUUUUUGUUUUUCUUUUGUUGUUGUUCUUUUUCUUACAAGAAUAUUACAAAAUAUUGAUUUCUUCGGUUCGUACCGAUCAGUUUUUAAGUUAAGGUUCGGUUCCUUUGUAAGUGAGGUUCGAGUUCGGUUACUUUCUCGUCUCAAAGUAAAACUAUGGCGUGCUCCAACAUGGUGGUGUUCCUAUAUGCAAAGUCGAGCACUAUGAGGGAUUAAAUCUUAUAUACGGUGUAAGGAUUGAACCACGUUUGCUAGUAAAAUUAGCAAGAAAGGGAACGCUUGAUCUUACUAAUCUUAGUAUAAUUUUAUCUCAGGCCUACUUACAAUGCAAGUGGAUUUUGUUAAUAUCGAUAAUCAGAAAUUAAUAUAGGCCUAAUUAUUACAGACGUAUUUGCACUCUAUGUGCCUUGAAUGUCCUCACAUAGAAUUAUCGCCUCGUGCUUCGUCCUCUUCUUUAUUUGAUAUAAUUUCACGUGCACUUUUUAAACUUUUUAGAUUAAUUGUGCACUGAAGAAUGCAAGGUUUUGCAGGCAAACGUGAUACAUUCUUAUUUAAGUUUCUGAUUCAAAUAAUUCAUCUUAAACAAACGUGAGCAGUUCUAAUUACAGUUUCUACUGUUGUGCUCCAAUCAAGGCUUAUAACACACAUGCGAGUCUGUAACACUGCUCGUCUUUUCAUUGGGUUUAUAACAUUUGAGUUAUUUCGCGAUUUGCAUUUAAAAUAAUGUAAUCAUCUCAAGACCUAAUUAGUUCUAGUUGAGUUGUAAAUAAAUACAGAAUCAGAAGUAGUCACCAGCAACCAGUACUCCAUCUGUCAGACAACUUCAACAUUACCAUAUUUUGUCAAGUUAGGCCAAAAGAAGAAACACUAGAAUUGUUUCAAAAAUUAAAUAGAAUAAAAAAAAAGAUACUUUUGAUUUGGAAAUGAAAACCUGAGUAAAUUCUCAAAUAAGGGUGCCAUCCAAAUCACUAGUGAUAUCCUAAGUUUUAUAGAUAGUAUGUCUCACCUACAGUAUACACAAGUUUAAACAAACAAAACUAUUUUAAACACCAGGCUUAACAAGUCAACCAAGGGAAUACACUUUAGCAAUGUAGAUCUUCAAUUUCAUUAAUGAUGUAAUGAGACAAUCUAUGUUGCUAUUUCUGGAUAUGUAGACAUCUAAAUUUUAACAGCAAUGGUAUUUAAAUGAUAAGACUGAGAAAAAUAUGAUAUUUUAAAAAAGCUUAUAUAAAGUAUAACUGUACGGUAUCGAAUAGUUUGGAAUAGUCAUGUAAUUAAAUUUCUAAUAGAUCUAGACUAGCAAUAAUAAAUCUAUAUGAUUAGAAAUAUUGUUACAUGCUUAUAUCAACUCACUCUGUCUGUCUGGUAAAAAUUUUGUACACAUCAUUUCUCCCACACCCAUUCCAGGAUCAAGUUGAAACCUAGCACAAUUAUUCAUUGGCAUAGACGAGAAGUGAAUCAAUAAAAAAAAUUAACCAAUUAGUCAAUUAAUCACUGGUAAUGAAGAAGAAAAUGGAGAACGAGGAAGAAAACUGCACCUCUGAAUCAGCAUCUCAGAUAAUUUGGGGAAGAUACAACACAAGUCUAUCUCUUCAAACAACAUUGUGACAUUGAAAUAUUUUCAAACAACCUUAUUUUUUCUAUAUAAAAUGUAACAAAUAUUACGGUAUUAUAUAAUAAAUUAUAUAUAUUUAAAAUAUAUACAUAUAGACAAGUUCUAAAUGUGGUCCCAUGACAUUUGUUUAAAUAUUUUUCCAAUUAUAUUGUAAACUUUUUAGUUGAGUGACACUAAAGACAAAAAUAACAUCUGAAAUAGUUUUCCUUUCAUUUCUUUGUAAACAAAAUAAAUUUGAUGAAACAAAUCAGCUGUUUUGCUCCACUGAUUCAGCGUCAACAGGCUCAACAUUUUGAAGAGUUGGGUAAUUGAUUUGUGGAAAUUCAAAAGACUCAUGCAGUUUUAGAUGAAAUUUGCCAUCAUCCUCUGGCUCAGGUGUAGGCACUUUAAUUAUUUCAGCCUCUUCUUUCUCUUCAACUGUCUCUACAAUUGGCUCCUCUUGGCUGCCAACCGUGUAUCUAAUGGUCACCUGUUCUUCUGUUUCUCCAGCAACAGUUUCAGAUUCUGAUGGUUCCUCAACAAAUUUUAUCUCUGGAUGCUCCAGCUCCCUGUAAAUCUGAAGCAUACGAUUUAUUUUACAACACCUUUCACCAGUAUGAAUGCCUCCUAGUUUCAAAAACCUUGCCUUGAUUCCUACAGACUGAAAUUAAAGAAAUAGUUUUAUGAUAGGAUCUGUAGGAAAUUAUUAUUUUAAGAUAUUGGAAUCAGAACUGAAUUUCCAUUUGAUUGGACCAAUAAAAAAUUAUCUUAUCUUAUCUUAUUAAAGUUUAAAAUAGUGUUAAAUAUUUAAAACUAGCAUUUUACUUACAAAGUCAACCAAAAAUGUGUCAGUGGUCUCAAAGUCAUUAGUUGAAAUUAUUAUCUCAUUUUUUAGAGCUGAUAGGAAAAAAAUAUGUGGUCUAUAUUUAAAUUAAUGGAUUAGACAUCAAAUGCAUCCUAAAAUAUUACAUCGUUAAAUACAUGCAGUCAGAGGGAAAAAAAUGUGGAUGUCAUGUUACAAUCAAUUGUGUUAAUACAUAAACAAUUUAGAUAGGAAUGUUAACUUUUGAUGCUUAUCAUUUUGUUUCAGAAAAAAACAAAAAAAUAAGAGACACUAUAUGUCUUUAACAGGAAACUAAAAUAUGUAAUUACUUCUGGUGUUAAACUACUGUAAAAAAUAAAAUUAUUAUUUUUAAGCAUCUAAAUUGAUACAUCUUUAAUGACUGUGAGGUUUUGCUUUCAAUGGUAAUAAGCAUGAGUGAUUCAGUAAAAAAAAAAGCAUUAAUUAUCGGGACAUCAUGCUAGAAAAAUGAUGUUUACCUAGCUAGAUUACUUUCGAUCAAAUUAA